UAGGCACACUUAAAGUUAUAGCUACAUCAGUUAUAACUACAUCAGUUAAAACUUUAAGUGUGCCUAGG
MicroRNA precursor from Gorilla gorilla gorilla (western lowland gorilla), 68 nucleotides. Lineage: Eukaryota; Metazoa; Chordata; Mammalia; Primates; Hominidae. The record is from Ensembl.